UUGGCCUCGGAUCAGGUAGGGCUACCCGCUGAACUUAAGCAUAUCAAUAAGCGGAGGAAAAGAAAGCAACUGCGAUUGCCCCAGUAACGGCGAGUGAAGAGGCAGCAGCCCAGAUUUG
This 118-nucleotide ribosomal RNA is filed under the name Pseudocatenomycopsis rothmanniae. Its description in RNAcentral is "partial 28S ribosomal RNA". It matches the Rfam family "Eukaryotic large subunit ribosomal RNA", at positions 1 to 117 of the family's 3401-position model. Lineage: Eukaryota; Fungi; Ascomycota; Sordariomycetes; Coronophorales; Scortechiniaceae. The record is from RNAcentral.